This 205-nucleotide ribosomal RNA is filed under the name uncultured bacterium. Its description in RNAcentral is "partial 16S ribosomal RNA". It matches the Rfam family "Bacterial small subunit ribosomal RNA", at positions 1294 to 1500 of the family's 1533-position model. The record is from RNAcentral.
CGGAUUGAAGGCUGAAAUUCGCCUUCAUGAAGCCGGAAUUGCUAGUAAUGGCAGGUCAGCAUACUGCCGUGAAUACGUUCCCGGGCCUUGUACACACCGCCCGUCACACCAUGAGAGUUGGGAAUACCCGAAGCCUGUGAGCUAACGAAAGAGGCAGCAGUCGAAGGUAGAAUCAAUGAUUGGGGUGAAGUCGUAACAAGGUAGC